GGGGUUGUCGUCUAAUGAUAAGACUCUUUUCUGUCGGGGGAGCUAAUGUGAGUUCGAAUCUCAUCAACCCUC
Molecule: transfer RNA, 72 nt
Filed under: Puccinia graminis f. sp. tritici CRL 75-36-700-3
Lineage: Eukaryota; Fungi; Basidiomycota; Pucciniomycetes; Pucciniales; Pucciniaceae
Rfam family: tRNA
About the family: Transfer RNA (tRNA) molecules are approximately 80 nucleotides in length. Their secondary structure includes four short double-helical elements and three loops (D, anti-codon, and T loops).
Source: Rfam by way of RNAcentral